RNAcentral lists this ribosomal RNA (253 nucleotides) under uncultured bacterium. RNAcentral describes it as "partial 16S ribosomal RNA". It matches the Rfam family "Bacterial small subunit ribosomal RNA", at positions 524 to 776 of the family's 1533-position model. The record is from RNAcentral.
UACGGAGGAUGCAAGCGUUAUCCGGAAUGAUUGGGCGUAAAGCGUCCGCAGGUGGCUAUGUAAGUCUGAUGUUAAAGAGUGAGGCUCAACCUCAUAAGAGCAGUGGAAACUACAUGGCUAGAGUGCGUUCGGGGCAGAGGGAAUUCCUGGUGUAGCGGUGAAAUGCGUAGAUAUCAGGAAGAACACCGGUGGCGAAAGCGCUCUGCUAGGCCGCAACUGACACUGAGGGACGAAAGCUAGGGGAGCGAAUGGG